This 3463-nucleotide long non-coding RNA is filed under the name Canis lupus familiaris (dog). RNAcentral's name for it is "lncRNA (ENSCAFG00000055983.1)". The record is from RNAcentral. Lineage: Eukaryota; Metazoa; Chordata; Mammalia; Carnivora; Canidae.
ACACAGGCUGCUGGCUUCUGGGCAGACACACAGGAAGCAGAUCUGUGCACAUAUAUGGACUUUCAGUAGGGACUUAGAGCACCUCUGAUCGUCAGUGACCGGUGUGAUGCAGUGGCCGUGUACUGUCUGAUGCAAAAGCCAAGGAGGUCUUGGAUAUCUGAAGUGUCCAGGUACUUAAAAUCACCAAUUGGACUGAACAGAUGUACCUCAGGAAUUAAAAAUUUUUCCAGAAGGAGGUAAGAGAUCUUAAAGUAUGCAUAUAUUUGCAUGUUAAUAAGUUUUGGUGAAAAUUUAGAUAUGCUAGUACAUUUCUUCAGUGUAUAAUUUAGAGGAUAAUUUUUAGAAAUUAAGGGCACUUUCUGUUUUUACUUAAAUAUUCUUUAUUCUUUGGAAUGACUUAGAUAUAUGAGACUGCUGUUAACAUUAAAAAAAAAUGGUUCAUAGGGAAGCCACAUUGCCACCUCAAAAUGUCAAGAUCUGAAUGGCCACUGUUUUGCUUUUUUUUUUUUUUUUUUUAAUCUUUAUAUGUUGGACUAGACCAGGUUUACCAAGUUCCCCAAGAGCCACAGAGCAAAGAUAUCUGACAUGGAGGCAGAUUGCCAUCUAGAAAGAUCCUUUGGCCAGCCUGCCCCUUCUACAUUUCCUGGACCACAUAUGGUUACUAUCAGCUACAAUCCAUUCAAAGGCUUGAGUGCCAAGCACAGGGAGAGGAGCCAGUUUGUAGUGUGUUACACUAUCUUAAUUUUGACCUAAGAUAUGAGACUGAAAUAUUACCCUUAAAGUAAAAUAGAAAUCUGAAUGUAUUCAUAUUAUUUUUUAAACCCUUUUUAACUAUAAAUGUUCCUCAAACUUCAUUUCAUUGUAAGUACAAAGAAAAUUCAGCAGCAUUAGGUUUAUCAUCCCACUAUAUUAUAUAUAUUGCUACCGGCAAGAAUUGCUGUUAGAAGAAAUGAAUAAGGAAUUAAAACAUACACUUUAAGAUCAUAGCUAGUAUAUGAGAAUGGCAAGAAAAAAAACCUGAAUCUAAAUAGUAUUUCCCUUAUAGUUGUUUGAGUAGAAAAAGAGUCAUUUAUUAAUUUUAUCUCACUAAAAAUAAGGGGGUCCCAAUUUUAUUAGGUGCCUUGGAAUUUAAUUAGAUGAUUAUUUCUAUUUAAUGUGAACAAAUGCUUCUUCCUUGUUUUUUCAUAUUUAGUGUCAAGAAAAAUAAUAUUUUUAGGAAUUUUAAGGAAAUUACAAUUGCUAAAUGGAAGCAUCACUUCCAAAUGCAAAACAUUCAUCACAUAAGGUAAAAAUGUAGUGAUAUGAGAUUAACACUGAAGCAAUUAAAGUGUCAAGUCAUUAUGGAUUUUUAACUUUUUUAUGCCACAUCUCAUACAUUAGUACUGAUAGGUCAAUAAAGACUCCAAAAUAUGACAUUUGUAUUGCCUGUUCUCUAUACAAAUAUAUACAUUUACACAUACGUAUAAACAUAUCUAUACAUACAUAUAUUCAUUAUUGGGCUACAUUAAUUUUUAGCCUCCGACAGUACCAGUUUCCUGGAUGCUAUUUUUCAUUAGUGUAUCCUGUGCACAAAUACUAAACAUUAUUUUCUUUUUCUAUUUUUCCAAUUACAAUUGCCUCAUAGGGCACCCAUAAAGGAGGAAAAAUUCACAAAAUGCAUUCCUUGGAUACUGAUUAAAAUCUGUUCCAAAUUUAUGAAGGCUGGAGGCAUACAUAGUGGUACUUAAAGAUGUAUACUUAAAGAUCUAGCCAGUUUUUCAAAAUUAAUUUAUAAACACAUCAACAAUCCAAAUGGAUGAGUCUUAAGUUAUUGAAUACAAUUAACAAUGUACACAUGGGAUUGAAGUGGGAUAGUAAUUAGUAUGACUAUUUAUUAAAGUCAAAGUAUCAAAUUUGACUAAAAUCUGAUGAAAUUUAUUUCCACAUAUUGCAUUUAAUGGAAUUAUUUGCAGAAUUGAACAUUUGAUUAUAGGCUUUGAGUAGCACAAAUGUAAACUGGCAUCAAUAAGUACUGGUCUAUUAGAAAAUGUGACCUGGUCAUCCCAAAUCAGACUUUUUUAUUGACAAAGUUCCAUAUCGCUUAGUCUCCCCUUACUUCCUUUUUUUUUUUUUAAUUUUUAUUUACUUAUGAUAGUCACACAGAGAGAGAGAGAGAGAGAGAGAGAGAGAGGCAGAGACAUAGGCAGAGGGAGAAGCAGGCUCCAUGCACCCGGAGCCCGACGUGGGAUUCGAUCCCGGGUCUCCAGGAUAGCGCCCUGGGCCAAAGGCAGGUGCUAAACCCCUGCGCCACCCAGAGAUCCCCUACUUCCUUUUUUUUAAACAGAAGUAACCUAAAUGAGAAUUAUUGACAUUGCAAAUGUAUAGUGAAAUAUUUAAUGUAAAUAAUUACUUAACAGUAUAUUUUGCUUGUCCUGCUAAUUCUAUUGUUUGAUGGCUUACUCACUGAGAGAAUGCCAAUGUGGCAAGAUCCAAGACAUUUUUUUCUUUCCUGAAUCUGAAAAUUAUUCUGUAAUUACUGAUUAUUCCCUUGACAUGGCUCCAUAUAUGUUUGAUUCUAAAUAAAUUCUAGAUUGAAAAGUACAGAUACCUUACUAGUAAGCCUGUGACAAAGAUUUCAAGCAUUUAAAAAAAUAGAAGGCAACUAAAAGAAACUAGUUAAGAAAAAGAUAUACUAAUUUGGAAGAGAGGAAAAUUAGAUAAUAUUCCAUAUUAACUAAAAAGGAAAAUUGAAAAUGUGUGGAUGAAAAAGAAGAAAAAAAUGUAAAUCAGAAUGUGAAAAUAUCAAGUAUUAUAUACAAUUUGAUAUUCCACUUGAGGUUCAUUCUAAAUGACUAUUGAAUAACUGUGAUAUGUUUUUAGGGAAAUUGUCUCAUACAGCAGAAUAAAAUGACACUCCAGAUUCAUAUAGUUCUGGAAUUUCAAGCUGGAUCACUUUGUGACCUUGUGAAAAUUACUUUGCCUUAUUUAAUUUUCUCAUUCAUACAUUGGGACUAACAAUAUCCACUUUUACUUAUAAUUUUUACAAAUUUUGAGAUAGUUAACGGUUUUAUUAAAUUACAUUUUAAAGUGUAUGGUAUAGUUUUCUCUUUCUUUGAAUAUUUUCAAACUAUUUUUUAUUCAUUUUAUUUUUCAUAAGUGUUCAGCUUUUUUCUGUCUAAGUAUACAUCUUAUUUUUUUUCUUCUGAUUAUAAAAUUUUCAAGAUUAAGUAUACUUUUCUUGGGACGCCUGGGUGGCUCAGUGGUUGAGCAUCUGCCUUCGGCUCAGGGCAAGAUCCUGAGUCCCAGGAUCGAGUCCCGCAUUGGGCUCCCUGCAUGGGGCCUGCUUUUCUCUUGGCCUGUGUCUCUGCCUCUCUCUGUGUCUCUCAUGAAUAAACAAAUAAAAUAUUUAAAAAUAAGUAAAUAAAAAUAGUUUUUCUUAUUUAUGUCUGCCCCUCACCCACCAGUUUAAGAGAUAGGCAUUAUU